RNAcentral lists this ribosomal RNA (253 nucleotides) under uncultured bacterium. Its description in RNAcentral is "partial 16S ribosomal RNA". It matches the Rfam family "Bacterial small subunit ribosomal RNA", at positions 524 to 776 of the family's 1533-position model. The record is from RNAcentral.
UACGGAGGAUGCAAGCGUUAUCCGGAAUGAUUGGGCGUAAAGCGUCCGCAGGUGGCAAUGUAAGUCUGCUGUCAAAGCGUCUGGCUCAACCAGAUAAAGGCAGUGGAAACUACAUAGCUAGAGUAAGGUAGGGGUAGAGGGAAUUCCAGGUGUAGCGGUGAAAUGCGUAGAUAUCUGGAGGAACACCGGUGGCGAAGGCGGCAUCCUGGACCGGCAUUGACGCUGAGGAGCGAAAGCCAGGGGAGCAAACGGG